This 166-nucleotide ribosomal RNA is filed under the name uncultured bacterium. Its description in RNAcentral is "partial 16S ribosomal RNA". It matches the Rfam family "Bacterial small subunit ribosomal RNA", at positions 338 to 521 of the family's 1533-position model. The record is from RNAcentral.
CCUACGGGAGGCAGCAGUGGGGAAUAUUGGACAAUGGGCGAAAGCCUGAUCCAGCAAUGCCGCGUGAGUGAUGAAGGCCUUAGGGUUGUAAAGCUCUUUUACCCGGGAUGAUAAUGACAGUACCGGGAGAAUAAGCUCCGGCUAACUCCGUGCCAGCAGCCGCGGU